This is an RNA transcript of Bubalus bubalis (water buffalo), 846 nucleotides long. RefSeq lists it as uncharacterized. The record is from RefSeq and is a predicted model, not a curated record. NCBI's taxonomy places the organism in Eukaryota, Metazoa, Chordata, Mammalia, Artiodactyla, Bovidae. The transcript has 3 exons.
GCAACAGGGUAACCAAUCAACCAGUGCCAACUGUAAUUAUGUGUACUGACCCUAUAAGAGUAAAGCUCACCCUGAACGUGGGCCCCCAGAACCUCAGAAGUUUAGCUUGUCUGAGACCACUGGCUUAAUAAACCUAAGUUCUCCAACCCUCAAAUUGUGGUGCUCGGUUUCUCGAUGGUCUGACUUCUGAAACAUUUCUGGAAGCCCCAGGGAGAUUCCAGCCGCACUGGCCCCUUGAGACACUGCACCAGUGGCUUGGCUAGUUCGGAGCGGAGGAACUCCAAGACAAAUGAGGAGAACCUUUAUGGUUUUCUGGGUUCUCUUUCGGACUGGCAUUCUGACUCUCCAUGUGGCCGGGCCCUGACUGGACUCAUUGGAGGGAUGGACCAGUUCAUCAGGCAAGACUUCUCAAUAAGAGCCCAUGAUCCUUCCUGAGAUCCUGGUCAAGUCAUCAUCCAUCAUUCCAGGCUGGUGCAAUGUCACCCUGGAGUGCAAGUCCCCAGGAAACAGAGAAGACCUGAAGGUAACCUGGGAGAACAAGGGCCUUCCCAGGGAGCUGGCAUGGAGUGAGACACCAGAACUAGCCCCCAACACCUGGCAACUGACUAUGAACUUGUCUCUGAGUCAGCCCAAUGCCAUCCUCACCUGUGUGGUCAGCAACUAUGUGGACAAGAAAACUGCCUCUGUAGACUUUGCGCAAGUCUGUUCCCAUGGUUCACACAGACAGACGAUUGCUGACUCCCUUGGAGGCAUCCUGUGGACCAUCGUGGUUGUGCUAUUCUUCCUGGGAACUUGACUGUGCUUUUGGAAAAUGUAUAAGAGGGAAAGGAACAUGGAUACCAGAAG